UGCAUAUCCCACUUGCUUGCCUACCAGG
This 28-nucleotide non-coding RNA is filed under the name Mus musculus (house mouse). The record is from RNAcentral. Lineage: Eukaryota; Metazoa; Chordata; Mammalia; Rodentia; Muridae.